AUAUAUGAAAUAGAUGAACCAUUUGGAAGAAGUUUACAGAAAUAAAGACAAUUAUCCAUGACUAGUUUAGCAUGCAUCUCCUAAAAAUAAGGUCAUUCUCUUUCACAACCAAAGUCCAUUCUAACACCUUGCUCUGAAUCUGUGUGUUGUUGGGUUUUUGGAUAAAAGUUGAAUCAAGGUAUAUACACAUCACAUGGUUGCUGUGCCACUUGAUCUCCUUCACUCUAGACUCUGGAACACCCCACCCACCUCUUAGUGUUGUCAUCGACGCCGAAGGUCCUAGGGUCUCCAUCCCCCACAUUCUUUGGCCCUGGAUGGGGCCUGGGCAUCUGACUGGAGCUUGUACUUGACCCUCACAGCAGCCAAAGUCCCUGACAUCAGGAUGGCUGCUACGUGUCACUACUGGAGGAAGGGGCUGCUUAAGGAGUAAAGUCAUUGCAGGAGGAACACCUGUUUGUAAAGCCCCUCCCCCAUCCCAGGGACCUGGUAGCCAGCGCUGUGCUAUAUCCCGUCCUCCCUUGGUCGAAAGUGUUUUUCCCUCCCUUCCUCUCUUGACAGCUGUGUAGACUCACGAACUUCGACUUACUCGUGUUGUCAGUAAGUCCAGUCACUGUGUGUAGCCUUUCCAAGUCUACACGCUCGCCUGCGUCUCUGACAAAUGCCCUUUCACACAGCGGCUCUGCUUUGCUUUCUGGCACAAGGUGUCCUGUCUCACCUUGGACUUGGCCUGCCUCCCUUUGGAAAUCAGCCACUUCUAGAGAGAAACGGGUCCUAGCUGGGACCACCUGGUUCCUAGGGGUUACGUGCAUUUCCAGUAGAAAGGAAGACAUCUAGCUGUCUGAACCUGGAGUUCCCCUCGUGGUUCAGUGGUAAAGAACCUGGCUAGUAUUCAGGAGAAUGCAGGUUUGAUCCCUGGCCCUGCUCAGCAGAUUAAGGAUCGGCGUUGCUGUGGCUGUGGUGUAAGCCGGCAGCUAAAGCUCAAUUCGAGCCCUAGCCUGGAAACGACCAUAUGCCAUGGGUGUGGCCCUGAAAAGACACACACAUGCGCGCGCACACACACACACACACACACACGCCCCAGCUGUCUGAACCAUUCUUCUGAGCAGAUGGAAUGUUUCUUAUUCAGUAGAACUAUCUGGGCUUCAUAAACACCUAGAGGUAAAUUAGCCCUUGUCCAGGCUUUUUGAUCUCAAAUCCCUAAGAGGCAGAGGUUGAACCGAGGGGUCUGAGUGAGAACUUGCACGUUAUUGCCAAGGGUCUGGGUAUAGGAGGUGGGGAUUUCACAGCUGUGAGUAGCGUCCACAGGCUGCUGGAGUCGAGGACAGAUGUUCCCUGAGAAUCGGGUGGAAUGUAGGUGAAGACUGCUAUUACAAUUCUGAGUCAUCCUGCAGAGACUGGAGCCACGUUCAAUAACUAUUAUUCUACCAAUAAUUUUAGAAAAAUAUCUGUUUAGAAAUCAGGGUCAAUGGACACCCAAAACAUCUGACUGUUUGCAUGUUUAUAUUUAGAAACAGUUUCCAAAAACUUUGGAAGAUGCUGAAUGGCUUCAGUAUGAACACCCUAGAUGCUCAGUACAUCUCAUUUAAGUAAAUUGGGUAAAAAUCUUAGAGGAAAAAAAACACAUUGGUUUUAUUUUGUUGAACUGGCAGAAUUUCUAUAAAAUGAUCUUUUUUUUUUUUUUUUUUUUUUGUCUUUUUAGGGCCACACCCGCAACAUAUGGAAGUUCCCAGGCUAGUGGUCCAAUUGGAGCUGCAGCUACCAGCCUACACCACAGCCUCAGCAACACCAGAUCUGAGCCACAUCUGCGACCUACACCACAGCCCAUGGCAAUGCCAGAUCCUUAACCCACUGAGAGAGGCCAGAGAUCAAACCUGCAUCCUCAUGGAUACUAGUUGGGUUCAUUACUGCUGAGCCACAAUGGGAACUCCCUAAAAUGAUUUUAUUAUAAAUCGCAAGAUUAGCAAAUAUUUUGUAGCUUGCUUUCAGAAACUUGGAGGCUUCCAGUUCUAGGAGGAUGGUGUAGAUGCCCUUUCCUCUGUCCCUCCCAUGAGUACAACUAAAAUCCCUGGGUGUCAGAUGUAAAACAAACAUGAGAAGAUCCGGAAGCUGGAGGGAAAAGGCAGACAGCCAGGGCUGGACUCAAGAAACCCCACCAUGGGGAGUUCCUGGAUUUUCUAUGUGCUGCAAAGUUCCAACUAGGAGCUGGAGAAGCCGAUGGCCCAGAGGCACGGAGGGAAUCAGACAGCAAUGCCCCCUCCCAGAAAGGCCAGGAGAGGAGCAUCCUCACCGGGGGAGCACCUGUGGGCAGUACUCACUCCAGCCAAGCAGUGAAGCCCCACCCCAGCAAAGGGCGAGUGGGUUCCCCAGGCCUCCACCUCCAGGGCUGGAUGGAGUCAGCCUGCCUCCUAUGGGGGUGAUGUCCAUGACUCCCACCAGUUCCCAAGGGUCAGCAGAGUCCAGGUGGGGAAGCUGCCAGAUGAGAUGACACCUUGCCCUCACCUGCCGGGUCAGAGUCACAGGAAGCCAGCAGGAGGUUUAAAUAAGAGCCAGGCUCUUAACACAAUACCCUGAGUGUCCAAGCUUUGUUAGAAAAUCAGUGAUCAUAGAGAGAACCAGAACGAUUUCAAAACAAAUGAGAAAGGACAGUCAAUAGACACCAACACCAAGAUGACAGAGGUCUUAGAAUUACUGGGCAAAGACUUUUAAAGCAGCCAUUGUAAAAACACUUCAGUGAGCAAUUACAAACACACUUGAAACACAUGGAAAGAUAGUCUUACAGAGAGUGAGAAAGUUUCAGGGAAGGAACAGAAGACAUCAAGAAGAACAGAAGGGACAUUUUAGAACCAAAAUGUAUGAAAAGUGAAAUGAAAAGCUCAGUGGAUGGAAUCAAGGGCAGAUGGAGAGAGAGAUGAAAGAAUCAGUGGCUGGAAGAUUGAACUCGGAAAUUGUCCCAUCUGAGCAGAGAGAGAAAAUAGACCAAAAACGGAACAGAGCCUCGGGGACCUGAGGGAUUAACAAGAUCCAGCAUUCAUGCCAGCAGAGUCCUGCGAGGGGAGGGGAGAGUAGCUGGGCUGAAAAGUGCUUGAAGAAAUAAUGACUUAAAACUUCUCAAAUUUGGCAAUAGAAUAUAAAUCUAAAGAUUUAAGAAGUGAAUGAGUUCUAAAUAGUGUAAACCACAAAAGCUCCAUGCCAACUCGUCCUAAUCAAACUUCUGAGAACUAAAGAGAAUGUAAAAUCUUGAAGGCGGAGAGAAAAGACACCUUCCUUACUGGGGGCAGUGGCUUUCUCAUCAGAAACCGUGGAGGCCAGAGGGUAUGAAAUGUGUUUGUGGUGUUAAAAGAGAAAACCUGUAACUCAGAAUCUAAAAGGCAGCAAAAACUAUCCUUGACGAAUGAAGGUGAAAUCAGAACUCUCUUAGAUGGAGGAAAACUAAGAGUGUGUCCCCAGCAGACCUGCUCUUAAAUAUUAGCAAAUUGGAAUUUCCCUGAAGAGAAAGGAAACCGUAAAAGAAGGAAUCUUGAAGCAUCAGGGAGGGACAACAUAGCAAACAAAAAUAGGAGUAAAUGCGAUAGACUUUUCUUCUCCUCUUGAGUUUUCUAAAAUAUGUUUGAUGGUGGGAAGAAAAUUUUAUAACACUUUCUGAUAUGAUUCUAAACAUAUGUAGGGGAAUUAUUUAAGACAGUUAUAAAUGGGGCAUGAUAUAGGUAUGUAAAGAAAAGUUAGGGGUCCCACUUCUCUCAAACUGGUAAAGCAGCACCACCAGUAGACGGUGAUAAGUUCUGUGUAUAUGACGCAACACCUAAAGCAACUACUAAGUACACACAAAAAUGCUGUGGAUGAGUCAAGAUCGAAUCCUUUUGUUUUGUUUUGUUUUCUCUUUUUAGGGCCAUAACCAUGGCAUGUGGAAGUUUCCACGCUAGAGGUCGAAUCAGAGCUGUAGCUGCCGGCCUAUACCACAGCCACAGCAUGCCAGAUCCAAGUCAUGUUUGCUACCUACACCACAGCUCACGGCAACACUGGAUCCCUAACCCACUUGAGCAAAGCCGGAGAUUGAACCCACAUCCUCAUGGAUACUAGUCAGGUUCAUUGCAGCUGAGCCACAACAGGAACACCCUCAAGACUGAAUUCUAAAGUAUAUUCAAGCAAUCCACAAGGAGACAGGAAAAAUAAAACAGAACUGAAGAACCGAGAACAGAAAACAAAAAAUAAGAUUGGAGAUUAUAUCAAUAAUUACAUUAUUACAUAUCAAUAAUUCUAUUACAAUCAAUAAUUACAUUGAUUGUUACAAAUGGUAUAAACAAAACUAAUGCCAAUUAAAAGGCAGAGAUUGACAAAAUAGAUGUAAAAAGAUGACCCAUUUAUAUGUUUAUCUAUAAGAAAGUCACUUCAAAUUUAACGAUAGAAGCAGGUUGAAAGUAAAAAGAAUAAGAUAUAUCAUGCAAAAGAAAGUUUUAGUCUUUGAUAAAAUAGGUAAGGGGCAAAUAAAAUUGUCAGAAUAAUAGGAAUGUUAUAUAAUAAUAAAGGAUAGAUGCACUAAGAAGACAAAGCAAUCCUAAAUGUGUGCGUGCCACACAGCAGAGCCGCACAGCAUGUGACGAGUGACAGGGUUGAAAGCAAGUUUGAGGUUUAGCACAAUUCCUAUCAAAAUCCCAGUGCAGGAGUUCCCGUCAUGGCUCGGUGGUUAAUGAAUCUGACUAGGAACCAUAAGGUUGCAGGUUCGAUCCCUGGCCUUGCUCAGUGGGUUAAGGAUCCCGCAUUGCCGUGAGCUGUGGUGUAGGUUGCAGACAUGGCUCGGAUCCCAUGUUGCUGUGGCUCUGGCAUGUGUAGGCCGGCGGCUACAGCUCCGAUUUGACCCCUAGCCCGGAAACCUCCCUAUGCCGUGGGAGUGGCCCAAGAAAU
Molecule: long non-coding RNA, 4899 nt
Filed under: Sus scrofa (pig)
Lineage: Eukaryota; Metazoa; Chordata; Mammalia; Artiodactyla; Suidae
Description: lncRNA (ENSSSCG00000055983.1, ENSSSCG00105035714.1)
Source: RNAcentral